UACGAAGGGGGCUAGCGUUGUUCGGAUUUACUGGGCGUAAAGCGCUCGUAGGCGGCUUGUUAAGUCAGAGGUGAAAUCCUGGAGCUCAACUCCAGAACUGCCUUUGAUACUGGCGAGCUCGAGUAUAGCAGAGGUUGGUGGAACUCCGAGUGUAGAGGUGAAAUUCGUAGAUAUUCGGAAGAACACCAGUGGCGAAGGCGGCCAACUGGGCUAUUACUGACGCUGAGGAGCGAAAGCGUGGGGAGCAAACAGG
This 253-nucleotide ribosomal RNA is filed under the name uncultured bacterium. RNAcentral's name for it is "partial 16S ribosomal RNA". It matches the Rfam family "Bacterial small subunit ribosomal RNA", at positions 524 to 776 of the family's 1533-position model. The record is from RNAcentral.